This 617-nucleotide long non-coding RNA is filed under the name Gossypium raimondii (Peruvian cotton). Its description in RNAcentral is "long non-coding RNA (GRAI_LNC006540)". The record is from RNAcentral. Lineage: Eukaryota; Viridiplantae; Streptophyta; Magnoliopsida; Malvales; Malvaceae.
UGGCUGUGGCCUGCUUGCUGUGGACCUGCUGCUGGUGUGGCUUGCAGGACGGAGUGGGUUGCUGGAGUAGGCUAGGCCUGCUGGACCUAGGCUGUUAUAUUUCUAAUUUUUUUUUAUUUUUUUCUUCUUUUCGCUGUUGGGGUGCGCAGGUUGUGGCUUGUUGCAGUACUACCGGGCCGCUAGGACGGGCCUAGCUGUGGCCUGCUUGACGAAUCAAAUCCGAUUCGAGUCGGGUCUGCUGGGCAACUGGGUUGCUGGCAUGUUGAUGCUGCUGGAUGUGGGCCCGCUGUUUUGGGCCGACCUGUUGGUACUGGCUGGGUUACUGUUCGGGUCAGGUUGGGUCAUUGGUCAGUUGGACAAAGGUCUGAUCCGGGUCGGGUGAACCCGACUAUUAUAUUUCUAUAUAUUUUUUAUUUUUAUUUUUUUCUUCUUUUCACUGUUGGCCCGCGCAGGUUGUGGCCUGUUGCAGUACUACUGGGCCGCUAGGACGGGCUGGCUGUGGCGUGCUUGACGGAUUGGAUCCGCUUCAAGUCGGGUCUGCUGGCCUACUGGGUCGCUGGCAUGUUGAUGCUGCUGGAUGUGGGCCUGGUGUUUUGGGCCGACCUGUUGGUGUUGGC